RNAcentral lists this ribosomal RNA (483 nucleotides) under Graphis scripta. RNAcentral describes it as "eukaryotic LSU rRNA". It matches the Rfam family "Eukaryotic large subunit ribosomal RNA", at positions 143 to 642 of the family's 3401-position model. Lineage: Eukaryota; Fungi; Ascomycota; Lecanoromycetes; Ostropales; Graphidaceae. The record is from RNAcentral. RNAcentral also lists the same sequence under 1 other name.
UUGUAAUUUGGAGAAGGUGUUUCGGAAGAGAUGAUGGUCCAAGUCCCUUGGAACAGGGCGUCACAGAGGGUGAGAAUCCCGUACGUGACCAAUUAUCGAUUCCAUGCGAAACCCUUUCGACGAGUCGAGUUGUUUGGGAAUGCAGCUCUAAAUGGGUGGUAAAUUUCAUCUAAAGCUAAAUACCUGCCAGAGACCGAUAGCGCACAAGUAGAGUGAUCGAAAGAUGAAAAGCACUUUGAAAAGAGAGUCAAACAGUACGUGAAAUUGUUGAAAGGGAAGCGCUUGCAAUCAGACUCGUUUGCAGAAGCUCAGCCUUCCUUCGGGAUGGUGUAUUCUUCUGUCAACGGGCCAGCAUCAGUUUCGGCGGCUGGAUAAAGACUUUGAGAAUGUAGCUCUUUUCGGAGAGUGUUAUAGCUCGGAGUGUAAUGCAGCAGCUGAGACUGAGGUCCGCGCUUUUGCUAGGAUGCUGGCGUAAUGGUUGCU